This 468-nucleotide ribosomal RNA is filed under the name uncultured bacterium. RNAcentral describes it as "partial 16S ribosomal RNA". It matches the Rfam family "Bacterial small subunit ribosomal RNA", at positions 28 to 507 of the family's 1533-position model. The record is from RNAcentral.
GACGAACGCUGGCGGCGUGCUUAACACAUGCAAGUCGAACGGAAAGGCCCUGCUUUUGUGGGGUGCUCGAGUGGCGAACGGGUGAGUAACACGUGAGUAACCUGCCCUUGACUUUGGGAUAACUUCAGGAAACUGGGGCUAAUACCGGAUAGGAGCUCCUGCUGCAUGGUGGGGGUUGGAAAGUUUCGGCUGUUGGGGCUGGACUCGCGGCUUAUCAGCUUGUUGGUGGGGUUGUGGCUUACCAAGGCUUUGACGGGUAGCCGGCCUGAGAGGGUGGCCGGCCACAUUGGGACUGCGAUACGGCCCAGACUCCUACGGGAGGCAGCAGUGGGGAAUAUUGCACAAUGGGCGGAAGCCUGAUGCAGCAACGCCGCGUGCGGGAUGACGGCCUUCGGGUUGUAAACCGCUUUCGCCUGUGACGAAGCGUGAGUGACGGUAAUGGGUAAAGAAGCACCGGCUAACUACGUG